Molecule: long non-coding RNA, 549 nt
Filed under: Nicotiana benthamiana
Lineage: Eukaryota; Viridiplantae; Streptophyta; Magnoliopsida; Solanales; Solanaceae
Description: long non-coding RNA (NBEN_LNC019731)
Source: RNAcentral
CCCAUAUUAUUGCUAGCCUCUUCUCAUCCUUAUCUUCUCCAGUUCCUCUCCUGUUCCUCUCUUGGAGCUCGCGCCCUCUUCACGAGCACUUCUUCUUACUACUCCUCUCCUCUUUCUCACAACUCCCAAAAAUAAAAAUAAAAAUAUUCAAAACAAAAGGAAACAAAGCAGUCCCCAAAAAUCUGAAAGUUGAUACAAAAAACCAAGCAAAAAGAUCAGACCUUUUUCUUCUUCAAACUCCCCCAUUCAUAAUCCCACAUGAAAAAUCAUCCAACUUUCUUGAAAACCAUUUCCUUGUUAAAAUUCAGCACUUGUCACACAGACCCAAUAAUCUGAAAAAAGAAAAAAAGAAACCCCAUUAGAGAAAACCCCAAGAAAAUGAAGAGAGAUCGUGAUAGAGAAAAUUCCCAAGAUGGUUCUUCUUCUGGUAAAUCUAAGAUUUUUGAAGAAGAACAACCAGAUGCUGGAAUGGACGAGCUUUUAGCUGUUCUGGGUUAUAAAGUUAAAUCUUCAGAUAUGGCUGAAGUUGCACAAAAACUUGAACAACUU